Non-coding RNA from Phrynosoma platyrhinos (Desert horned lizard), 72 nucleotides. NCBI's taxonomy places the organism in Eukaryota, Metazoa, Chordata, Lepidosauria, Squamata, Phrynosomatidae. The record is from the annotation of a GenBank genome assembly.
GACAGUGUAGCAUAGUGGUUUGAAUGUUGGAGUAGGACUCUGGAGACCAGGGUUCGACUCCCUGAUUGGCCA